Molecule: ribosomal RNA, 371 nt
Filed under: uncultured organism
Description: partial 16S ribosomal RNA
Rfam family: Bacterial small subunit ribosomal RNA
Source: RNAcentral
GUAGGUGGCAAGCGUUGUCCGGAAUUAUUGGGCGUAAAGCGCGCGCAGGCGGUUCUUUAAGUCUGAUGUGAAAGCCCACGGCUCAACCGUGCAGGGUCAUUGGAAACUGGAGAACUUGAGUACAGAAGAGGAAAGCGGAAUUCCACGUGUAGCGGUGAAAUGCGUAGAGAUGUGGAGGAACACCAGUGGCGAAGGCGGCUUUCUGGUCUGUAACUGACGCUGAGGCGCGAAAGCGUGGGGGAGCAAACAGGAUUAGAUACCCUGGUAGUCCACGCCGUAAACGAUGAGUGCUAAGUGUUAGGGGGUUUCCGCCCCUUAGUGCUGCAGCUAACGCAUUAAGCACUCCGCCUGGGAGUACGGCCGCAAGGCUG